This 731-nucleotide ribosomal RNA is filed under the name uncultured eukaryote. RNAcentral describes it as "SSU rRNA". It matches the Rfam family "Eukaryotic small subunit ribosomal RNA", at positions 670 to 1426 of the family's 1831-position model. The record is from RNAcentral.
CGCGUGUACUGGUCCGGCCGGGCCUUUCCUUCUGGAGAGCCCCAUGCCCUUCACUGGGCGUGCGGGGGAACCAGGACUUUUACUUUGAAAAAAUUAGAGUGUUCAAAGCAGGCCUUUGCUCGAAUACGUUAGCAUGGAAUAAUAGAAUAGGACGUGCGGUCCUAUUUUGUUGGUUUCUAGGACCGCCGUAAUGAUUAAUAGGGAUAGUCGGGGGCAUCAGUAUUCAAUUGUCAGAGGUGAAAUUCUUGGAUUUAUUGAAGACUAACUACUGCGAAAGCAUUUGCCAAGGAUGUUUUCAUUAAUCAGUGAACGAAAGUUAGGGGAUCGAAGACGAUCGGAUACCGUCGUAGUCUUAACCGUAAACUAUGCCGACUAGGGAUCGGGCGAUGUUUCUAUCUUGACUCGCUCGGCACCUUACGAGAAAUCAAAGUUUUUGGGUUCUGGGGGGAGUAUGGUCGCAAGGCUGAAACUUAAAGAAAUUGACGGAAGGGCACCACCAGGCGUGGAGCCUGCGGCUUAGUUUGACUCAACACGGGGAAACUCACCAGGUCCAGAUGAAAUAAGGAUUGACAGAUUGAGAGCUCUUUCUUGAUUUUUCAGGUGGUGGUGCAUGGCCGUUCUUAGUUGGUGGAGUGAUUUGUCUGCUUAAUUGCGAUAACGAACGAGACCUUAACCUGCUAAAUAGCCAGGCUAGCUUUGGCUGGUCGCCGGCUUCUUAGAGGGACUAUCGG